This is a long non-coding RNA of Panicum virgatum (switchgrass), 613 nucleotides long. RefSeq lists it as uncharacterized. NCBI's taxonomy places the organism in Eukaryota, Viridiplantae, Streptophyta, Magnoliopsida, Poales, Poaceae. The record is from RefSeq and is a predicted model, not a curated record. The transcript is spliced from 3 exons.
GGAUCGAAUCCUACACCUGUCUUCUCUUUACCUCUUUCCCCGUUUAAUUAAAGCUUGCUUCCCUGGCGAAACAUCGAACCCAAUGGAAAGCUUGCCUCCCUGAUUACCUCUCAACGGCCCCAAAUAAACAGAAGCUUAAUUAGUUCUUCUUGUUCUGCCAGAAGGCUUGAGGCUCCCAGCUGAGAAGAGCAAGAAGAGCGGGGUGCCGGCGCGUGAGAUUUCUGGCUACGAUCUGGGCAUAUGUCGAGCUGCUUCCAGUCCCAGGUUGGGUUUCUUGGAGGGAUCCUCUGGGCUUGAGUCCUGAACAGGACAGCUUAGAUGGAGUUGAAGAGAUCAACUACUACGCCAUGUUCAUGGGUUACGUGUCCAAGGCCAUCAGGGGGCUACGCUUCCUAGUGCUUACAUGGACCACUGUCGUCCUCCUUGGUGGCUUUGUCUCCCUGCUACAGAAGGACUUUUGGGCUCUCACAGUAAUCACGCUUGUGCAAACUGCUGGGUAAGUCUUCUUGUUGCUUGUUUACCAAUGAGAAGCGUUUUUACUACCCUAUUUCGCCCCGGUUACCUUGGUUAAAGGUUGUGGUUAAAUAAAAUCCAGUAGUUGCCAUCACUUUCA